GAGUUUGAUCGUGGCUCAGGACGAACGCUGGCGGCGUGCCUAACACAUGCAAGUCGAGCGAGGAAGCCCUUUCGGGGGUGGAAUAGCGGCGGACGGGUGAGUAACACGUGGGUAACCUGCCUCAAAGAGGGGGAUAGCCUCCCGAAAGGGAGAUUAAUACCGCAUAGAAGGUAAAUACCGCAUGGUAAAUACCUUAAAGGAGAAAUCCGCUUUGAGAUGGGCCCGCGUCGCAUUAGCUAGUUGGAGGGAUAAAAGCCCCCCAAGGCGACGAUGCGUAGCCGACCUGAGAGGGUGAACGGCCACAUUGGAACUGAGAUACGGUCCAGACUCCUACGGGAGGCAGCAGUGGGGAAUAUUGCACAAUGGGGGAAACCCUGAUGCAGCAACGCCGCGUGAGUGAAGAAGGUUUUCGGAUCGUAAAGCUCUGUCAUCCGGGACGAUAAUGACGGUACCGGAAGAGGAAGCCGACGGCUAACUACGUGCCAGCAGCCG
This 492-nucleotide ribosomal RNA is filed under the name bacterium enrichment culture clone ALO1_GLFRUDD03F80EG. RNAcentral's name for it is "bacterial SSU rRNA". It matches the Rfam family "Bacterial small subunit ribosomal RNA", at positions 9 to 517 of the family's 1533-position model. The record is from RNAcentral.